CAGUGUGUGUGUACAGUGUGUAGUACAGUGUGUGUACAGUGUGUAGUACAGUGUGUGUACAGUGUGUAGUACAGUGUGUGUGUACAGUGUGUGUGUACAGUGUGUAGUACAGUGUGUGUGUACAGUGUGUGUGUACAGUGUGUGUACAGUGUGUAGUACAGUGUGUGUGUACAGUGUGUAGUACAGUGUGUAGUACAGUGUGUGUACAGUGUGAGUACAGUGUGUAGUACAGUGUGUGUGUACAGUGUGUAGUACAGUGUGUGUAGUACAGUGUGUAGUACAGUGUGUGUGUACAGUGUGUAGUACAGUGUGUGUACAGUGUGUGUACAGUGUGUAGUACAGUGUGUAGUACAGUGUGUAGUACAGUGUGUGUGUACAGUGUGUAGUGUGUAGUACAGUGUGUAGUACAGUGUGUGUGUACAGUGUGUAGUACAGUGUGUAGUACAGUGUGUGUACAGUGUGUAGUACAGUGUGUAGUACAGUGUUACAGUGUGUAGUACAGUGUGUACAGUGUGUAGUACAGUGUGUAGUACAGUGUGUAGUACAGUGUUACAGUGUGUAGUACAGUGUGUACAGUGUGUAGUACAGUGUGUACAGUGUGUAGU
Dicentrarchus labrax (European seabass) is the source of this 605-nucleotide long non-coding RNA. RefSeq lists it as uncharacterized. Lineage: Eukaryota; Metazoa; Chordata; Actinopteri; Moronidae. The transcript has 4 exons. The record is from RefSeq and is a predicted model, not a curated record.